GGAGUCAUCGCAGUCGUCGGAGUUGCCUGAGCAGGGAGGGGAAUGGAAAAGUGUCAGUGCAGCUGCCCCUUGGGAAUGUGUGGCACACCCGCCACCUCCUUCAGCUCAUCCUGACACAGGUACCAGGAUUGCAUGGAUUCCAGCUUCAUUGUUCUGAAUCAAAGACUACAUGCCUGCAUCACGUCCAACCUCAGGGCCCCGCAUCACGUCCAACCUCAGGGCCCCGCAUCA
Megalops cyprinoides (Indo-Pacific tarpon) is the source of this 231-nucleotide long non-coding RNA. RefSeq lists it as uncharacterized. The record is from RefSeq and is a predicted model, not a curated record. Lineage: Eukaryota; Metazoa; Chordata; Actinopteri; Elopiformes; Megalopidae. The transcript has 3 exons.